UACGUAGGGGGCAAGCGUUGUCCGGAAUCAUUGGGCGUAAAGCGCGCGUAGGCGGCCCGGUAAGUCUGGUGUGAAAACUUGAGGCUCAACCUCAAGCUGUCAUCGGAUACUGUCGGGCUUGAGUCUGGAAGAGGAGAGUGGAAUUCCUGGUGUAGCGGUGGAAUGCGCAGAUAUCAGGAGGAACACCUAUGGCGAAGGCAGCUCUCUGGUACAUGACUGACGCUGAGACGCGAAAGCGUGGGUAGCAAACAGG
This 253-nucleotide ribosomal RNA is filed under the name uncultured bacterium. RNAcentral describes it as "partial 16S ribosomal RNA". It matches the Rfam family "Bacterial small subunit ribosomal RNA", at positions 524 to 776 of the family's 1533-position model. The record is from RNAcentral.